GCACAAGCGGUGGAGCAUGUGGUUCAAUUCGACGCAACGCGAAGAACCUUACCCAGGCUCGAACGGCUGAUGACAUCCGGCGAAAGUCGGCUCCCGCAAGGGCAUCUGUCGAGGUGCUGCGUGGCUGUCGUCAGCUCGUGUCGUGAGAUGUUGGGUUAAGUCCCGCAACGAGCGCAACCCUUGUCUUCUGUUGCCAUCAGGUCAAGCUGGGCACUCUGAAGAGACUGCCGGUGACAAACCGGAGGAAGGUGGGGAUGACGUCAAGUCAGCAUGGCCUUUAUGUCUGGGGCCACACACGUGCUACAAUGGCCGGUACAAACCGUUGCAAACUCGCGAGGGUGAGCUAAUCGGAGAAAGCCGGUCUCAGUUCGGAUUGUAGGCUGCAACUCGCCUGCAUGAAGUUGGAAUCGCUAGUAAUCGCGGAUCAGCACGCCGCGGUGAAUACGUUCCCGGGC
RNAcentral lists this ribosomal RNA (455 nucleotides) under uncultured bacterium. Its description in RNAcentral is "bacterial SSU rRNA". It matches the Rfam family "Bacterial small subunit ribosomal RNA", at positions 923 to 1379 of the family's 1533-position model. The record is from RNAcentral.